Non-coding RNA from Cinara cedri, 413 nucleotides. The record is from the annotation of a GenBank genome assembly. NCBI's taxonomy places the organism in Eukaryota, Metazoa, Arthropoda, Insecta, Hemiptera, Aphididae.
GGAGUGUCUUUAUGUUUAGGAUGUGUGUUUGAAUAAUGGUAACAUACCUACUAAACAGCCAACGACGAAUCUCACGGAGCAUUUACUGCAGUAUCCCUCUGAAUGUCCGCCCUUGACAAUUUUGACACUGGAUUAUUUCUCUACGUUUGGGCGGUUAUUUUAUAUCUUUUAUUUUAACGUACGGAAUAUUAUUUAGAUGAAAAAUGUCUAGAGUUUGUAGAAGAGUGUAUUCUAGGUUCACAAAAAAAAAAAAAAAAAAAGAAGAAAAUAAAACAAAAGCAUUUCUAUUUUAGUCGGUAACCUUAUGGUAACCUCAUGUAGGAUAUAUUAGUAACUUGUCAGACUGAGUAACCUAUUUUUCCUAGGUAUAGUGACUUUGAUAUAUCGGUUGUUAGAACUGUCGGAUGUAAGUU